This is a long non-coding RNA of Camelina sativa (false flax), 965 nucleotides long. RefSeq lists it as uncharacterized. The record is from RefSeq and is a predicted model, not a curated record. Lineage: Eukaryota; Viridiplantae; Streptophyta; Magnoliopsida; Brassicales; Brassicaceae.
UAACGCAUCCACGUUCAUGAUUAUGGUUACUAGCGAAUCUGCUAUUUAAAUCCAAUUUUAGUGUCUUCUCUCUCGAUCCUUCUCUGUUAUUUAUCUCCACUCCAUCGUUUUUUUUUGUAGUUGCUAUAUAAACCACAAUUACAAUUCUCACGCAGUUGGAAGAUGCCUCUGGAUUAUACUCUUUUUUCAAAUCUAAAUUCUUUGAAAAAAGAAUGGAAGAUCAGAGCUCUAAUAUCUGGGACUUAGAAUUUUUAUCCAAAAGAUAAAACCAGGAAGUAUUCUACAUUGAGUUGUUUGCGUUUCAUUAUCGGAGAUUAUGUUGACGGAAUUGGAGUCACAAAUUUAAGGGUCUGAGCUUUCUCACCCUAAAAAAGGCCAUCGUAGCCGCAGCCUAAAGAAAUUGUGACGAACUCUUGAAUUUGUAUCGCAUCUUGCAUACAUCGAGUUUAUAUGAUCUACUUGAAGAGCUGUUUCCAACCAAAGACGACAUGUCUGAGAUGUUAUUCCACACUUCUCCGCCUCUUAUCCGUCCUUGAAACAGAGGAGUCGAAGAAGAUGGGCCUCGACCACUCAACAAAACCACAACAACAACUGAAGACAAGCCCAGUUAAACAAAUGAAGCACUAAAAGGUACACCACAGUCGUCAACACGUCUCUUCGUGCAUCAGAGUAAAGAAGAAGGUCGGUGCAUGUACAAAGAUGAAGGCUCAUCGAUCCAAAUAGGUUGAGAUUCUCCACUCCCAAGGCAAAUCACUCAACAUAAUUAGGCAUCGUUUGAAAUCAAUAAUAUGAGGAUUUCAGAUUGUUCCACUUGGAGUAUAAAACCCUUUUGGGUGAACGUAAAAGUAAGGUGAAAUCAAUAAUAUGAGAGUGUUCAGUAAAAAAUUAUUUCAAUUCACAACUCAUGUUAGUUUCAGUUGGAAUUUCUUAUGAUUCUUUUUCGAAGCUUUACUUACAUGUCUUUA